AUCGUGAUGGGGGUGUGUGCAGGAAGAGAGAAGCCGGUACCGCGCAGCCACAGAGGAAAGGUGUGGGGGAGGGAAAGUCCCUAGUACCGCGCAGCCGUGGAGAAAGGUGGGAAUGGGAUGAACAAGAAGCAGUUGCUAUUGCGCAGCUGCAGCAGACCCACGGAGGGGACGGUGAAAUGAGCAAGCAACAGUCGCUAUUGCGCAGCCGCAGUGGCUUGGUGCAGGUGUUCCAGCGGAGAGGUAAACGGCGAAAACAGGUGGAGGAAAGUUGAGCUGGGUUGGGUCGAAAGAUACGGCGUCUGAGGUGACUGAAGAAGGAGGGAAGGUGGAGAAUAAAAAUCCAUCGAGACAUCGACAGUGGACUUUUUCUUGUCGGUUUGAGGUGAAAGCUUAUUGUUUGGCAGGUGUCAGGACACUCCGCAAGACCAACGGUUUUAACGGCUCGACGUUCCAUUAUUUCCAACUUGAGUUCAUUAAAGGGGAAGUGGCGGUUUCUGAUUUUCUUUUGUGACUGGACCGAGUUGCCGGCCGCCGGCAGUUGGACCUUGUUGAUUCACCCCUUUAAGGAGAAGGAAGGCUUUGCCUCCGAGCCCUCCCGGCCUUGUUGCAGCGGUGAAACCCGCACUGCUGCAUGUCUCUGCUGCGGAUGGAGUCCCGUCUAUAAUCGUGCAUCAGGUGUCUGGAUCAUCUACAACUUGUUCGUUGCCGAAUUGUUCGGGUGAUCAGAUCGAAAAUUGCAGUUCUGAGUUCGCUCCCAUACGGUGCAGUUGUAGUUUAUUACGUGUCCUUGUAUGCCUCGAGGAAUCCCUGGUGGUGAGC
This is a long non-coding RNA of Rhincodon typus (whale shark), 819 nucleotides long. RefSeq lists it as uncharacterized. The transcript has 3 exons. The record is from RefSeq and is a predicted model, not a curated record. Lineage: Eukaryota; Metazoa; Chordata; Chondrichthyes; Orectolobiformes; Rhincodontidae.